Molecule: microRNA, 23 nt
Filed under: Petromyzon marinus (sea lamprey)
Lineage: Eukaryota; Metazoa; Chordata; Hyperoartia; Petromyzontiformes; Petromyzontidae
Description: pma-miR-130e
Gene: pma-miR-130e
Source: miRBase by way of RNAcentral
CAGUGCAAUAUUGAAAAAGGGUA